Molecule: ribosomal RNA, 305 nt
Filed under: uncultured bacterium
Lineage: Bacteria
Description: bacterial SSU rRNA
Rfam family: Bacterial small subunit ribosomal RNA
Source: RNAcentral
AAGGCCUACGGGAGGCAGCAGUGGGGAAUAUUGGGCAAUGGGCGCAAGCCUGACCCAGCAACGCCGCGUGAAGGAAGAAGGCUUUCGGGUUGUAAACUUCUUUUAUUCGGGACGAAGAAAGUGACGGUACCGAAUGAAUAAGCUCCGGCUAACUACGUGCCAGCAGCCGCGGUAAUACGUAGGGAGCAAGCGUUAUCCGGAUUUACUGGGUGUAAAGGGCGCGUAGGCGGGAUGGCAAGUCAGAUGUGAAAUCCGGGGGCUCAACCCCUGAACUGCCUUUGAAACUGUCGUUCUUGAGUACUGGG